CCUACGGGGUGCAGCAGUGGGGAAUAUUGCACAAUGGGGGAAACCCUGAUGCAGCGACGCCGCGUGAAGGAAGAAGUAUUUCGGUAUGUAAACUUCUAUCAGCAGGGAAGAAAAUGACGGUACCUGACUAAGAAGCCCCGGCUAACUACGUGCCAGCAGCCGCGGUAAUACGUAGGGGGCAAGCGUUAUCCGGAUUUACUGGGUGUAAAGGGAGCGUAGGCGGCGAUGCAAGUCAGAAGUGAAAGCCCGGGGCUCAACUCCGGGACUGCUUUUGAAACUGUAUGGCUAGAUUGCAGGAGAGGUAAGCGGAAUUCCUAGUGUAGCGGUGAAAUGCGUAGAUAUUAGGAGGAACACCAGUGGCGAAGGCGGCUUACUGGACUGUAACUGACGUUGAGGCUCGAAAGCGUGGGGAGCAAACAGGAUUAGAUACCCUAGUAGUC
Molecule: ribosomal RNA, 440 nt
Filed under: uncultured bacterium
Lineage: Bacteria
Description: partial 16S ribosomal RNA
Rfam family: Bacterial small subunit ribosomal RNA
Source: RNAcentral